AGUUCAUGGUAGAUUAACAGGAUAUGAAAACUCAAAUUGAGGAAAUUUGAAUCUAACAUGAUGUGAUUUAGAUAUUUUGAAACAUUUCAGGAUAAAGACUAUAAACUGGUGACAUAUAACUGAAGAUGAAUUCCUGAGCUUAGAGUCAGUGUAGCAGAGUCAUGCUCAGCAGAUGAUCUCUGGACCUAUUAAUACUUGUAUUCGUAUGGUACAAGAAGUUGAAUGAUGUCGCCUUCUUGAAAGAGUGAUAUUUUAAUCCCUUCUGAUACUUCUAUGACGAUGCUAAAACUAUCUCAAUAAAUUCCUUGAGAGAAAGAUAUCUUAUCUAUAUCCAACAUUACAUAAAGUACAGCAUUUUUCAGGUGAGGACAUUUUGGCACAGAAAGAUGAGGCAUUUGUCCACAGGCAUGGAAGUACCAAGUUUAGGAGUUAGAAAUUGACCCCAGUUUGUCCAGUUGAACGGCUGUGCUUAAUGCCUAUGUUAUUGAUUUCACUACCAUUAAAUGUACUGUUACAACUGCUGAACUAGAAUUUUAAAUCAUAUCGCAUGAUCUGUAUUAUUUAGAUGGCAAAUUGGAAGAAAAAUUUCCUUGAAUUCAAUUGUGAAAGAAAUAUUAAAUGUAUAAGUAUUUAACUAUUCUGAUAAUUUUGCUUGAUUUAAUUAGAAAUUGAACUUAAGAUUUCAUCACUGUACAGUAUAGAUUGAAUUGUAAGAAUGGUUAACUUUUAGAGGUGAUUUGGCAUUUUGGAGAUGUGUAAUAGUAGCUAACAAUUACAUCAAAACAUUGGACUUAGAGUUGUGU
This is a long non-coding RNA of Myotis brandtii (Brandt's bat), 803 nucleotides long. RefSeq lists it as uncharacterized. NCBI's taxonomy places the organism in Eukaryota, Metazoa, Chordata, Mammalia, Chiroptera, Vespertilionidae. The transcript is spliced from 4 exons. The record is from RefSeq and is a predicted model, not a curated record.